GACGAACCGUGCGAACGUUAUUCGGAAUCACUGGGCUUAAAGCGCGUGUAGGCGGAUGGGCGCGUCGGCCGCUGAAAUCCCCCGGCUCAACCGGGGAAGUGGCGCCGAUACGGCCCGUCUGGAGGGGGGUAGGGGGCGCUGGAACCCACGGUGGAGCGGUGAAAUGCGUUGAGAUCGUGAGGAACGCCCGCGGCGAAAGCGAGCGCCUGGACCCUUUCUGACGCUGAGACGCGAAAGCGUGAGUAGCAAACAGG
This 254-nucleotide ribosomal RNA is filed under the name uncultured bacterium. RNAcentral's name for it is "partial 16S ribosomal RNA". It matches the Rfam family "Bacterial small subunit ribosomal RNA", at positions 524 to 776 of the family's 1533-position model. The record is from RNAcentral.